Molecule: ribosomal RNA, 279 nt
Filed under: Triticum aestivum (bread wheat)
Lineage: Eukaryota; Viridiplantae; Streptophyta; Magnoliopsida; Poales; Poaceae
Description: partial small subunit ribosomal RNA
Source: RNAcentral
AUGGACCGAUCUCCGGUGCCGGCCAAGAAGAUCUGGCUCGCCAUCGCCUCCCGCCUCGGCCUCCGGCCAACAGCCGGGCUGAGGAACCUGAGGAAGGAGGUGAGGACGUGCGAGUACCGCGACGUCCACAUCAUGUGGGAGAUGCUGAGGGAGAUGGACUCCCCGGUGCCCCUGGAGGAGAAGCAGGCCGCCGCCGCUGCGGCCGUCGCGGCGGCCGCCGCCGCCAGGAAGAAGAAGAAGGCGUGGAGCCGCUUCGUCUACUACUGCUGCGCGUUCUGA